Long non-coding RNA from Musa acuminata subsp. malaccensis (wild Malaysian banana), 572 nucleotides. RefSeq lists it as uncharacterized. The record is from RefSeq and is a predicted model, not a curated record. Lineage: Eukaryota; Viridiplantae; Streptophyta; Magnoliopsida; Zingiberales; Musaceae.
UGGCAGGCAACUUUCCCUUUGCUAGAGAGUCACCGCGCAGACCAUAUCUUUCGCUGGUGUAAGCCCUCUGCAGUCUUCCCUCAUCUUCUUCUUUGCGGCUUCAGCAAUCUCAAACAGCCACUGGGAGUAGGGGAGAGAUACAUGGAGCCACCAACUUCCCAGGUGAUGUCAAGCAGAGACGACCCCCAAGAUCAAAUCAUCAACGCAGGUUGUUCCUGCUGCUAUGACUGCCUGACGAGCUGCUUCGACUACAUCUGCUGCUACUGCCUCUGGGACUGCUAGGCUUGGCAGAGAGUGAACCCAUGGCCCGACUCAUCAUCUCGUUCUUUGUGCUUGCGCUCUUUCUCCCCGUCACAGUGAAGAUGGAGUGAGUGGGUUCAUCCAUACCCAUGCAAUCUUCUGUGUUUUCCGCAACGGUAACCGCUACAAGUCAUCAUCCGUUUCUUUGGUGUUUUAGCUGAUAGAACAGUGAAGUGGGAUGAACAGGAGAUCACUGCUCUGUUGGCUGAGGCAUCAUGUACCCAUUGCUCUUUAGUUUCCCGAAAGCAUCUCUGAUGUCAAACUCGGCAAAA